This 1372-nucleotide ribosomal RNA is filed under the name uncultured bacterium. RNAcentral's name for it is "bacterial SSU rRNA". It matches the Rfam family "Bacterial small subunit ribosomal RNA", at positions 28 to 1381 of the family's 1533-position model. The record is from RNAcentral.
GAUGAACGCUGGCGGCGUGCCUAAUACAUGCAAGUCGAGCGAACGGACGAGAAGCUUGCUUCUCUGAUGUUAGCGGCGGACGGGUGAGUAACACGUGGAUAACCUACCUAUAAGACUGGGAUAACUUCGGGAAACCGGAGCUAAUACCGGAUGAUAUUUUGAACCGCAUGGUUCAAAAGUGAAAGACGGUCUUGCUGUCACUUAUAGAUGGAUCCGCGCUGCAUUAGCUAGUUGGUAAGGUAACGGCUUACCAAGGCAACGAUGCAUAGCCGACCUGAGAGGGUGAUCGGCCACACUGGAACUGAGACACGGUCCAGACUCCUACGGGAGGCAGCAGUAGGGAAUCUUCCGCAAUGGGCGAAAGCCUGACGGAGCAACGCCGCGUGAGUGAUGAAGGUCUUCGGAUCGUAAAACUCUGUUAUUAGGGAAGAACAUAUGUGUAAGUAACUGUGCACAUCUUGACGGUACCUAAUCAGAAAGCCACGGCUAACUACGUGCCAGCAGCCGCGGUAAUACGUAGGUGGCAAGCGUUAUCCGGAAUUAUUGGGCGUAAAGCGCGCGUAGGCGGUUUUUUAAGUCUGAUGUGAAAGCCCACGGCUCAACCGUGGAGGGUCAUUGGAAACUGGAAAACUUGAGUGCAGAAGAGGAAAGUGGAAUUCCAUGUGUAGCGGUGAAAUGCGCAGAGAUAUGGAGGAACACCAGUGGCGAAGGCGACUUUCUGGUCUGUAACUGACGCUGAUGUGCGAAAGCGUGGGGAUCAAACAGGAUUAGAUACCCUGGUAGUCCACGCCGUAAACGAUGAGUGCUAAGUGUUAGGGGGUUUCCGCCCCUUAGUGCUGCAGCUAACGCAUUAAGCACUCCGCCUGGGGAGUACGACCGCAAGGUUGAAACUCAAAGGAAUUGACGGGGACCCGCACAAGCGGUGGAGCAUGUGGUUUAAUUCGAAGCAACGCGAAGAACCUUACCAAAUCUUGACAUCCUUUGACAACUCUAGAGAUAGAGCCUUCCCCUUCGGGGGACAAAGUGACAGGUGGUGCAUGGUUGUCGUCAGCUCGUGUCGUGAGAUGUUGGGUUAAGUCCCGCAACGAGCGCAACCCUUAAGCUUAGUUGCCAUCAUUAAGUUGGGCACUCUAAGUUGACUGCCGGUGACAAACCGGAGGAAGGUGGGGAUGACGUCAAAUCAUCAUGCCCCUUGUGAUUUGGGCUACACACGUGCUACAAUGGACAAUACAAAGGGCAGCGAAACCGCGAGGUCAAGCAAAUCCCAUAAAGUUGUUCUCAAUUCGGAUUGUAGUCUGCAACUCGACUACAUGAAGCUGGAAUCGCUAGUAAUCGUAGAUCAGCAUGCUACGGUGAAUACGUUCCCGGGUCU